Molecule: ribosomal RNA, 403 nt
Filed under: uncultured bacterium
Lineage: Bacteria
Description: bacterial SSU rRNA
Rfam family: Bacterial small subunit ribosomal RNA
Source: RNAcentral
UGGGGAAUAUUGCACAAUGGGCGAAAGCCUGAUGCAGCAACGCCGCGUGAGUGAUGACGGUCUUCGGAUUGUAAAGCUCUGUCUUUGGGGACGAUAAUGACGGAACCCAAGGAGGAAGCCACGGCUAACUACGGGCCAGCAGCCGCGGUAUUACGUAGGUGGCAAGCGUUGUCCGGAUUUACUGGGCGUAAAGGGUGCGUAGGCGGACCUUUAAGUGAGAUGUGAAAUCCCCGAGCUUAACUUGGGGGCUGCAUUUCAAACUGGAGGUCUAGAGUGCAGGAGAGGAGAGUGGAAUUCCUAGUGUAGCGGUGAAAUGCGUAGAGAUUAGGAAGAACACCAGUGGCGAAGGCGACUCUCUGGACUGUAACUGACGCUGAGGCACGAAAGCGUGGGGAGCAAACAG